GCAAAUAAGUGCAGAUGGUGGAUGCCUUGGUAUGGAAUGACGAUGAAGGACGUAGCAGCCUGCGAUAAGCCUCGGUGAGGUGGCAAGCAACCUUUGACCCGGGGAUAUCCGAAUGGGGUAACCCAAUCUGAUGGAAGAUCAGAUUAUCAGCCGCUGAAUUCAUAGGCGGUUAGAAGACAACCUGGGGAAGUGAAACAUCUCAGUACCCAGAGGAAGAGAAAACACCGAUACGUGGUUCUGUUGCUAUCACUCGCGCAAACGUUUGUGAGUGGUAGUAGCAGUGCCACAUAAUUCCCGGAGUAGUGGCGAGCGAAACGGGACCAGCCCAAACUUAGUGACGCUUGAACUUGCGAUGCGUGUAUAUCUUUUGAUAGAUACGAAGCGACCAUCUGCUUACAAGGAGUCAGAGCGCUUACCACUUCAGCGUAGGUUUUUUGCUUAUGGCCCUCGUGCUAGUCAGAUACCGUACCGCCUGUUAUCGCAGGUUAGGCGGCUGUACUGGGAACGAGCUGUAGGCGAACCUACGCUGAAGUGGUGCGUGAUGGCGUGCCUAUUGAAGAAUGAGCCAACGAGUUAGCUGGUAGUAGCUGAUUAAGUCCUACGGGACGUAGUCAAAGUGAAAGCGAGGCUUAACAGCCGUACUGAGUUUGAAAAGCGAUGCGUGUAUUUUCACGCCGCGCUUUUCUUACUCAAAAGCUGCUAUCACUAGACCCGAAACCGGGUGACCUAGCCAUGACCAGGGUGAAGCACAGGUAACACUGUGUGGAGGCCCGAACCCACGCGCCGUGCAAAACGCGGGGAUGAGUUGUGGCUCGCAGAGAAAUUCUAAUCGAACUCGGUAAUAGCUGGUUCUCCUCGAAAUAGUUUUAGGACUAGCCUGUUCCAUCGUUCCUGAUGGUAGAGCACUGAAUGGGUUUCCAUGGCGUAAGCCUAGGCGAUCCAACCAAACUCCGAAUGUCAGGAAACGUAAGGAAUGGAGUCAGAGCGUGAGGGCUAAGCUUCACCGCUCAAAAGGGAAACAGCCCAUGAUCACCAAAUAAGGUCCCUAAAUUUCAGCUAAGUGUUAAAGGCGGUCUCGUCGCUUAAACAACCAGGAGGUUGGCUUAGAAGCAGCCACCCUUUAAAGAAAGCGUAACAGCUCACUGGUCUAGCGCUGGGGCGCCGAAAAUGUACCGGGGCUAAAGCUGAAUACCGAAUUUGUGGGCCCGUCGUAAGACGGGCGGUAGAGGAGCGUCCUCUGCUGCCGUGAAGCCCCAGCCGUGAGGCGGGGUGGAGCGCAGAGGAGUGCGAAUGUUGGCAUAAGUAGCAAAAAGACUAGUGAAAACCUAGUCCACCGUAAACCUAAGGUUUCCUGGGCAACGCAAAUCGACCCAGGGUGAGGCGGGCCUAAGGCGAGGCUGAAAAGCGUAGCCGAUGGACAGCAGGUUAAUAUUCCUGCCCCGCCAUUAAGUUUCAAUGGGGUGACGUCGUUUUUAAGGUUCUGCGCGAUUUGGUUAUGCGCGUGUACCGUGAAGCCGUGCCUGGUAGGUAAAUCCGCCAGGAUAAUCGGCAGGCGCGGGACGUAGGGAAAGGGGCAACCCCGACCCGACAGAACUGGCGAGACGGCCUAGAAAAACCUCUAGAGUUAACUUAAUGGUGACCGUACCGGAAACCGACACAGGUGGGUGAGGCGAGUAGCCUCAGGUGUACGAGAGAACCCUUGUUUAGGAACUCGGCAAUACAACGGCCGUAACUUCGGAAUAAGGCCUACCCGUCGCAAGACGGGUCGCAGUAAAAGACGUCAACCGACUGUUUAUCAAAAACACAGGUCCCUGCAAAGCCGCAAGGCAACGUAUAGGGGCUGAUGCCUGGCCAGUGUCAGAACGUUAAGGCAAGAGGUCAUUCCGCCGCAAGGCGGAGGCAGCCUUGAACUGAAGCGCUGAUGAACGCCGGCGGUAACUAUAACCGUAGUUCCGACCUGCACGAAUGGCAUAACGAGUUGACGACUGUCUCAACAAGGGACUCGGUGAAAUUGCAAGACCCGUGAAGAUGCGGGUUACCCACGGCUAGACGAAAAGACCCCGUGAAGCUUUACUACAACUUGGUAUUGAGCAUUAUAAGUGCUUGCUCAGCAUAGGUGGGACGCGCUAGAAGCCCUGACUCCGGUUGGGGCUGAGCGGAAAUAUGAGAUACCACCCUGGCGGUUUUAGUGUUCUAACCUCAUGCCGUUAUCCGGCUGAGGGACAGUAUCUGGCAGGUAGUUUGACUGGGGCGGUCGCCUCCUAAAAUGUAACGGAGGCGUUUACUAAGGUUGGCUAGCUCCCGAUGGAAACGGGAGUGAUAGGGACCCGAGCAGUUGCGAAAGCAGCUGAUCGGGUCCAAGAGUCCACAUCGACGACCCGGUUUGGCACCUUAACAUAUCGGGGUGCAUGAACAGUGAUGUUUUUCCCAAUCUUUUCGUUUAAUUAAAUAAUUUAGACAGGAAUCAAGAUCAAUAAUCGGCUUAUAACGGUGAACCCGUCAGUCCGCCCAGGGCGGACCCGGCAACACCGUGGGAAGUCAUCCGCCCAGGGCGGAUUGACCCCGUAACGACUGACCCGAAAGGGAAGAGCCCGCCAACGGCGGGCUAACACGCCGACUCUUGCAGUGAAAUCUGAGGUUAUGCGGUUAGGCUGUUCGCCAAUUAAAGCGGUACGCGAGCUGGGUUCAGAACGUCGUGAGACAGUUCGGUCUCCUGUCUGUCGUGGGCGUGCGAAACUUGAGAAGGCUCUUCCCUAGUACGAGAGGACCGGGAAGAACGAACCUCUAGUGCACCAGUUGGUCUACCAAGGCCAUCGCUGGGUAGCUACGUUCGGCGCGGAUAAACGCUGAAAGCAUCUAAGCGUGAAGCCGUCUUCAAGAUUAGGUUUCGUUGAGGAACCAGAGAGAACAUCUGGUUGAUAGGUGGUAGGUGUAAGGCCCGUAAGGGUUUAAGCCGAGCCAUACUAAUCGUCCGAUGGUUUAACC
Molecule: ribosomal RNA, 2985 nt
Filed under: Parcubacteria group bacterium GW2011_GWF2_43_38
Lineage: Bacteria
Description: 23S ribosomal RNA
Rfam family: Bacterial large subunit ribosomal RNA
Source: RNAcentral